Molecule: microRNA, 21 nt
Filed under: Dasypus novemcinctus (nine-banded armadillo)
Lineage: Eukaryota; Metazoa; Chordata; Mammalia; Cingulata; Dasypodidae
Also listed under: 2 other names
Description: dno-miR-19b-2-5p
Gene: dno-miR-19b-2-5p
Source: miRBase by way of RNAcentral
AGUUUUGCAGGUUUGCAUUUC